Molecule: ribosomal RNA, 600 nt
Filed under: uncultured bacterium
Lineage: Bacteria
Description: bacterial SSU rRNA
Rfam family: Bacterial small subunit ribosomal RNA
Source: RNAcentral
CUUAAAUGAAUUGACGGGGGCCCGCACAAGCGGUGGAGCAUGUGGUUUAAUUCGAAGCAACGCGAAGAACCUUACCAGGUCUUGACAUACUCGUGCUAUUCCUAGAGAUAGGAAGUUCCUUCGGGACACGGGAUACAGGUGGUGCAUGGUUGUCGUCAGCUCGUGUCGUGAGAUGUUGGGUUAAGUCCCGCAACGAGCGCAACCCUUAUUGUUAGUUGCCAUCAUUAAGUUGGGCACUCUAGCGAGACUGCCGGUAAUAAACCGGAGGAAGGUGGGGAUGACGUCAAAUCAUCAUGCCCCUUAUGACCUGGGCUACACACGUGCUACAAUGGUUGGUACAACGAGUCGCAAGACAGUGAUGUCAAGCCAAUCUCUUAAAGCCAAUCUCAGUUCGGAUUGUAGGCUGCAACUCGCCUACAUGAAGUCGGAAUCGCUAGUAAUCGCGGAUCAGCACGCCGCGGUGAAUACGUUCCCGGGCCUUGUACACACCGCCCGUCACACCACGAGAGUUUGUAAUACCCAAAGCCGGUGAGCUAACCUUUUAGGAGGCAGCCGUCUAAGGUAGGAUAGAUGAUUGGGGUGAAGUCGUAACAAGGUAGC